RNAcentral lists this ribosomal RNA (486 nucleotides) under uncultured bacterium. RNAcentral's name for it is "partial 16S ribosomal RNA". It matches the Rfam family "Bacterial small subunit ribosomal RNA", at positions 28 to 507 of the family's 1533-position model. The record is from RNAcentral.
GAUGAACGCUGGCGGCGUGCCUAAUACAUGCAAGUCGAACGCUGGAGAUCUAGCUUGCUAGAUCGAAGGAGUGGCGAACGGGUGAGUAAUACAUAAGCAACCUACCCACGAAGACUGGGAUAAUCUCUGGAAACGGGGACUAAUACCGGAUAGGUAAUCGGAAGGCAUCUUCUGGUUAUUAAAGGUUAAAAACACUGGUGGAUGGGCUUAUGGCGCAUUAGUUAGUUGGUGAGGUAACGGCCCACCAAGACGAUGAUGCGUAGCCGGCCUGAGAGGGUGAACGGCCACAUUGGGACUGAGACACGGCCCAGACUCCUACGGGAGGCAGCAGUAGGGAAUUUUCGGCAAUGGGGGCAACCCUGACCGAGCAACGCCGCGUGAGUGAAGACAGCCUUCGGGUUGUAAAGCUCUGUUGUAAGGGAAGAACGGUAGAUAGAGAAUAUCUAAGUGACGGUACCUUACCAGAAAGCCACGGCUAACUACGUG